AGUCUGGAGUGAAAGGCGACGGCUCAACCGUCGACGCGCUUCGGAAACUGGGGGACUUGAGGGCAGGAGAGGCGAGUGGAAUUCCCGGUGUAGCGGUGAGAUGCGUAGAGAUCGGGAAGAACACCAGUGGCGAAGGCGGCUCGCUGGACUGGCCCUGACGCUGUCGCGCGAAAGCGUGGGGAGCGAACGGGAUUAGAUACCCCGGUAGUCCACGCCGUAAACGAUGGGCACUAGGUGUGGGAGGUAUCGACCCCUCCCGUGCCGGAGUUAACACACUAAGUGCCCCGCCUGGGGAGUACGGCCGCAAGGUUGAAACUCAAAGGAAUUGACGGGGGCCCGCACAAGCAGUGGAGCAUGUGGUUUAAUUCGACGCAACGCGAAGAACCUUACCCGGGCUUGACAUCCCCGGAACACCCGAGAGAUCGGGUGGCUCUACGGAGCCGGGAGACAGGUGCUGCAUGGUUGUCGUCAGCUCGUGUCGUGAGAUGUUGGGUUAAGUCCCGCAACGAGCGCAACCCUUGUCCCGUGUUACCAGCGUAAAGGCGGGGACUCACGGGAGACUGCCGGUGACAAACCGGAGGAAGGUGGGGAUGACGUCAAAUCAUCAUGGCCCUUAUGUCCGGGGCUACACACGUGCUACAAUGGCCGGCACAGCGGGAUGCGAAGGGGCGACCCGGAGCGAAUCCCUGAAAGCCGGUCCCAGUUCGGAUCGCAGGCUGAAACCCGCCUGCGUGAAGCCGGAAUUGCUAGUAAUCGCGG
RNAcentral lists this ribosomal RNA (759 nucleotides) under uncultured Bacillota bacterium. RNAcentral describes it as "bacterial SSU rRNA". It matches the Rfam family "Bacterial small subunit ribosomal RNA", at positions 586 to 1347 of the family's 1533-position model. Lineage: Bacteria; Bacillati; Bacillota. The record is from RNAcentral.